RNAcentral lists this ribosomal RNA (251 nucleotides) under uncultured prokaryote. RNAcentral's name for it is "partial 16S rRNA". It matches the Rfam family "Bacterial small subunit ribosomal RNA", at positions 525 to 775 of the family's 1533-position model. The record is from RNAcentral.
ACGUAGGGGGCGAGCGUUGUCCGGAAUUACUGGGCGUAAAGAGCACGUAGGCGGGAACUUAAGUCAGAUGUGAAAGACCGGGGCUCAACUCCGGGAUUGCAUUUGAAACUGGGUUUCUUGAGGGCAGGAGAGGAAAGCAGAAUUCCUGGUGUAGGGGUGAAAUGCGUAGAAAUCAGGAGGAAUACCAGUGGCGAGGGCGGCUUUCUGGACUGACCCUGACGCUGGGGUGGGAAAGCGUGGGUAGCAAGCAG